RNAcentral lists this ribosomal RNA (450 nucleotides) under uncultured bacterium. Its description in RNAcentral is "partial 16S ribosomal RNA". It matches the Rfam family "Bacterial small subunit ribosomal RNA", at positions 354 to 796 of the family's 1533-position model. The record is from RNAcentral.
GUGGGGAAUCUUCCGCAAUGGACGAAAGUCUGACGGAGCAACGCCGCGUGAGUGAUGAAGGUCUUCGGAUUGUAAAGCUCUGUUAAUCGGGACGAAAGAGCCUAGUGUGAAUAAUGCUAGGAAGUGACGGUACCGGAAUAGAAAGCCACGGCUAACUACGUGCCAGCAGCCGCGGUAAUACGUAGGUGGCAAGCGUUGUCCGGAAUUAUUGGGCGUAAAGCGCGCGCAGGCGGAUCUGCCAGUCUGGAUUAAAAGUUCGGGGCUUAACGCCGUGAUGGGAUGGAGACUACAGAUCUAGAGGAUCGGAGAGGAAAGUGGAAUUCCUAGUGUAGCGGUGAAAUGCGUAGAUAUUAGGAAGAACACCAGUGGCGAAGGCGACUUUCUGGACGAAAACUGACGCUGAGGCGCGAAAGCCAGGGGAGCGAACGGGAUUAGAAACCCCUGUAGUCC